Molecule: ribosomal RNA, 301 nt
Filed under: uncultured bacterium
Lineage: Bacteria
Description: partial 16S ribosomal RNA
Rfam family: Bacterial small subunit ribosomal RNA
Source: RNAcentral
CAGUAGCCACGGUAAUACGUAGGGUGCAAGCGUUAAUCGGAAUUACUGGGCGUAAAGCGUGCGCAGGCGGUUAUAUAAGACAGAUGUGAAAUCCCCGGGCUAACCUGGGAACUGCAUUUGUGACUGUAUAGCUAGAGUACGGCAGAGGGGGAUGGAAUUCCGCGUGUAGCAGUGAAAUGCGUAGAUAUGCGGAGGAACACCGAUGGCGAAGGCAAUCCCCUGGGCCUGUACUGACGCUCAUGCACGAAAGCGUGAAGAGCAAACAGGAUUAGAUACCCGCGUAGUCCCUGUCUCUUAUACA